This 497-nucleotide ribosomal RNA is filed under the name uncultured bacterium. Its description in RNAcentral is "partial 16S ribosomal RNA". It matches the Rfam family "Bacterial small subunit ribosomal RNA", at positions 28 to 507 of the family's 1533-position model. The record is from RNAcentral.
GAUGAACGCUGGCGGCGUGUCUAAUCCCUGCAAGUCGAGCGAACAGACGUGGAGCUUGCUCCUCUCACGUUCGCGGCGGACGGGUGAGAAACACGUGGAUCACCUACCUAUAUGACUGGGAUAACCUCGGGAAACCGGAGCCAAUCCCGGAUAACAUAUCGCACGGCAUGGUUCAAUAGCGCAAGACGGUUUUGCAGUCACUUAUCGAUAGAUCAGCGCCGCGUUAGCUCGUUGGCAAGGUAACGGCUUACCAAGGCAAUGAUGCUUAUCCGACAUCCGCGGAUGAUCGGCCACACAGGAACUGAGACACGGUCCUAACUCCUACGGGAGGCAGCAGUAAGGAAUCUACCGCAAUGGGCGAAAGCCUGACAUAGCAACGCCGCGUGAGCGAUGAAGGUCUUCGGAUCGUAAGACUCUUUUAUGAGGGAAGAACCAGGGUGUGAGUUACUAUUCGCGUCUUGACGUUGCCUAAGCAUAAAGCCACGACUAACUACGUG